UUAUGCUAUACUUGUUAUCUACUACUUUUGUAGGCAAAUAUAGUACUUUUUACUUCUCUACAUGUAUUUGACAACUGUAGUUACUUCAGAUUACAAAUGAAGAUGUUUG
Etheostoma spectabile (orangethroat darter) is the source of this 109-nucleotide long non-coding RNA. RefSeq lists it as uncharacterized. The transcript has 3 exons. The record is from RefSeq and is a predicted model, not a curated record. Lineage: Eukaryota; Metazoa; Chordata; Actinopteri; Perciformes; Percidae.